This 418-nucleotide ribosomal RNA is filed under the name Didymium leoninum. RNAcentral describes it as "SSU rRNA". It matches the Rfam family "Eukaryotic small subunit ribosomal RNA", at positions 1230 to 1644 of the family's 1831-position model. Lineage: Eukaryota; Evosea; Eumycetozoa; Physariida; Didymiaceae. The record is from RNAcentral.
ACGCGUAUGAAAGACAAGCUGAAAGACUUUUCUAAAUGAUGUAAGUGGUGGUGCAUGGUCGUUCUUAGUUCGUGGAGUGAUUUGUCUGGUCUAUUCCGAUAACGAGCGAGACCCCGACGUUCCUAAUAGGGGUGAUGGCCAACUCGCCCUCACGGGCUUGUAGCCGUCACCUCCUGCUUCUUAGACGUAUCAGAGCCGAUAAGGUUCUUGAAAUGGGUUAAUAACAGGUCAGUCAUGCCCUUAGAUGUUCUGGGCCGCACGCGCGUUACAAUGGCAUACAGGAGAAAGUGCUCUCGGGCGACCCGCGGCCUCACGGCUGCGGUAAUCCCUAGACUCUGCCUUGACUGGGCCAGACUUUUGCAAUUAUCGGUCUCAAACGAGGAAUUUUUAGUAGUCGCAGGUCAUUAACCUGCGACGA